RNAcentral lists this ribosomal RNA (301 nucleotides) under uncultured bacterium. Its description in RNAcentral is "partial 16S ribosomal RNA". It matches the Rfam family "Bacterial small subunit ribosomal RNA", at positions 509 to 807 of the family's 1533-position model. The record is from RNAcentral.
CAGCCGCCACGGGAAUACAGAGGGUGCGAGCGUUAAUCGGAUUUACUGGGCGUAAAGCGUGCGUAGGCGGCUUCUUAAGUCGGAUGUGAAAUCCCUGAGCUUAACUUAGGAAUUGCAUUCGAUACUGGGAAGCUAGAGUAUGGGAGAGGAUGGUAGAAUUCCAGGUGUAGCGGUGAAAUGCGUAGAGAUCUGGAGGAAUACCGGUGGCGAAGGCGGCCCCCUGGACAAAGACUGACGCUCAGGUGCGAAAGCGUGGGGAGCAAACAGGAUUAGAUACCCCUGUAGUCCCUGUCUCUUAUAC